AUUAGCUGAGGAGUUAUAAAUAGGACGAAACGUACGUCCUGGAU
Schistosoma margrebowiei is the source of this 44-nucleotide non-coding RNA. NCBI's taxonomy places the organism in Eukaryota, Metazoa, Platyhelminthes, Trematoda, Strigeidida, Schistosomatidae. The record is from Rfam.